RNAcentral lists this ribosomal RNA (378 nucleotides) under uncultured Cercozoa. RNAcentral describes it as "bacterial SSU rRNA". It matches the Rfam family "Eukaryotic small subunit ribosomal RNA", at positions 631 to 955 of the family's 1831-position model. Lineage: Eukaryota; Cercozoa. The record is from RNAcentral.
GAUUUCUGGCUCGGUGCCCUCGGGUCGCUUAGUCACUUCUGUGGCUUUGUGUGUUCCGAGGUAAAGAGGGCCCUUUUCUUCAAAAGGGUGUUUCUGCGCCGACCAUCUCUUCCGGAAAGGCUGGUCUACCCUUCACUGGGCUGGGCUGGUUAAAUAUAAAUUUCUGGAUCCUUUACUGUGAAAAAAUUAGAGUGUUUAAAGCAGGCAUGAUUUGCAUUUGAAUACAUUAGCAUGGAAUAAUAAGAUAGGACUCUGGUUCUAUUUUAUUGGUUUCUGGGACUGGAGUAAUGAUUGAUAGGGACAGUUGGGGGUGCUAGUAUUCAACGGCCAGAGGUGAAAUUCUUGGAUUCGUUGAAGACUAACUAAUGCGAAAGCAUU